AAUCUACUCUCUUUGUCCGAAAAUACUUGUCAUUAAAAUGAAUAAAAAAGAAUGUAUCUAGAACUAAAAUACGUCUAGAUACAUCCUCUUUUGUUUAUUUUGAUGACAACUAUUUCCGGAGGGAGGGAGUAGAAU
Non-coding RNA from Triticum aestivum (bread wheat), 135 nucleotides. Lineage: Eukaryota; Viridiplantae; Streptophyta; Magnoliopsida; Poales; Poaceae. The record is from Rfam.